CCUACGGGUGGCAGCAGUGAGGAAUAUUGGUCAAUGGGCGGAAGCCUGAACCAGCCAAGUAGCGUGCAGGAUGACGGCCCUACGGGUUGUAAACCGCUUUUAUACGGGAAUAACGCGCCUUACGUGUAGUGCUUUGCAUGUACCGUAUGAAUAAGGACCGGCUAAUUCCGUGCCAGCAGCCGCGGUAAUACGGAAGGUCCGGGCGUUAUCCGGAUUUAUUGGGUUUAAAGGGAGCGUAGGCGGCAUUUCAAGCGUGCGGUGAAAUGUCCGGGCUCAACCCGGGCCUUGCCGUGGAAACUGGCGUGCUUGAGUCGGCGUAAGGCAGGCGGAAUGCGUGGUGUAGCGGUGAAAUGCUUAGAUAUGACGAAGAACCCCGAUUGCGAAGGCAGCUUGCUGCAGCGGAACUGACGCUGAUGCUCGAAAGCGCGGGUAUCGAACAGGAUUAGAUACCCGGGUAGUC
RNAcentral lists this ribosomal RNA (460 nucleotides) under uncultured bacterium. Its description in RNAcentral is "partial 16S ribosomal RNA". It matches the Rfam family "Bacterial small subunit ribosomal RNA", at positions 338 to 795 of the family's 1533-position model. The record is from RNAcentral.